UGGGGAAUUUUGGACAAUGGGCGCAAGCCUGAUCCAGCAAUGCCGCGUGCAGGAUGAAGGCCUUCGGGUUGUAAACUGCUUUUGUACGGAACGAAAAGGCUCUGGCUAAUACCUGGGGCACAUGACGGUACCGUAAGAAUAAGCACCGGCUAACUACGUGCCAGCAGCCGCGGUAAUACGUAGGGUGCGAGCGUUAAUCGGAAUUACUGGGCGUAAAGCGUGCGCAGGCGGUUUUGUAAGACAGAGGUGAAAUCCCCGGGCUCAACCUGGGAACUGCCUUUGUGACUGCAAGGCUGGAGUGCGGCAGAGGGGGAUGGAAUUCCGCGUGUAGCAGUGAAAUGCGUAGAUAUGCGGAGGAACACC
Molecule: ribosomal RNA, 363 nt
Filed under: uncultured bacterium
Lineage: Bacteria
Description: partial 16S ribosomal RNA
Rfam family: Bacterial small subunit ribosomal RNA
Source: RNAcentral